AGCGGAUGACAGGAGCUUGCUCCUGAAUUCAGCGGCGGACGGGUGAGUAAUGCCUAGGAAUCUGCCUGGUAGUGGGGGACAACGUUUCGAAAGGAACGCUAAUACCGCAUACGUCCUACGGGAGAAAGUGGGGGAUCUUCGGACCUCACGCUAUCAGAUGAGCCUAGGUCGGAUUAGCUAGUUGGUGAGGUAAUGGCUCACCAAGGCGACGAUCCGUAACUGGUCUGAGAGGAUGAUCAGUCACACUGGAACUGAGACACGGUCCAGACUCCUACGGGAGGCAGCAGUGGGGAAUAUUGGACAAUGGGCGAAAGCCUGAUCCAGCCAUGCCGCGUGUGUGAAGAAGGUCUUCGGAUUGUAAAGCACUUUAAGUUGGGAGGAAGGGUUGUAGAUUAAUACUCUGCAAUUUUGACGUUACCGACAGAAUAAGCACCGGCUAACUCUGUGCCAGCAGCCGCGGUAAUACAGAGGGUGCAAGCGUUAAUCGGAAUUACUGGGCGUAAAGCGCGCGUAGGUGGUUUGUUAAGUUGGAUGUGAAAUCCCCGGGCUCAACCUGGGAACUGCAUCCAAAACUGGCAAGCUAGAGUAGGGCAGAGGGUGGUGGAAUUUCCUGUGUAGCGGUGAAAUGCGUAGAUAUAGGAAGGAACACCAGUGGCGAAGGCGACCACCUGGGCUCAUACUGACACUGAGGUGCGAAAGCGUGGGGAGCAAACAGGAUUAGAUACCCUGGUAGUCCACGCCGUAAACGAUGUCAACUAGCCGUUGGGAGUCUUGAACUCUUAGUGGCGCAGCUAACGCAUUAAGUUGACCGCCUGGGGAGUACGGCCGCAAGGGUUAAAACUCAAAUGAAUUGACGGGGGCCCGC
This 865-nucleotide ribosomal RNA is filed under the name Pseudomonas abietaniphila. RNAcentral's name for it is "bacterial SSU rRNA". It matches the Rfam family "Bacterial small subunit ribosomal RNA", at positions 65 to 924 of the family's 1533-position model. The record is from RNAcentral. Lineage: Bacteria; Pseudomonadati; Pseudomonadota; Gammaproteobacteria; Pseudomonadales; Pseudomonadaceae.